AUUGAACGCUGGCGGCAGGCUUAACACAUGCAAGUCGAACGAUGAUUAUCUAGCUUGCUAGAUAUGAUUAGUGGCGGACGGGUGAGUAACAUUUAGGAAUCUGCCUAGUAGUGGGGGAUAGCUCGGGGAAACUCGAAUUAAUACCGCAUACGACCUACGGGUGAAAGGGGGCGCAAGCUCUUGCUAUUAGAUGAGCCUAAAUCAGAUUAGCUAGUUGGUGGGGUAAAGGCCCACCAAGGCGACGAUCUGUAACUGGUCUGAGAGGAUGAUCAGUCACACCGGAACUGAGACACGGUCCGGACUCCUACGGGAGGCAGCAGUGGGGAAUAUUGGACAAUGGGGGCAACCCUGAUCCAGCCAUGCCGCGUGUGUGAAGAAGGCCUUUUGGUUGUAAAGCACUUUAAGCAGGGAGGAGAGGCUAAUGGUUAAUACCCAUUAGAUUAGACGUUACCUGCAGAAUAAGCACCGGCUAACUCUGUGCCAGCAGCCGCGGUAAUACAGAGGGUGCGAGCGUUAAUCGGAAUUACUGGGCGUAAAGCGAGUGUAGGUGGCUCAUUAAGUCACAUGUGAAAUCCCCGGGCUUAACCUGGGAACUGCAUGUGAUACUGGUGGUGCUAGAAUAUGUGAGAGGGAAGUAGAAUUCCAGGUGUAGCGGUGAAAUGCGUAGAGAUCUGGAGGAAUACCGAUGGCGAAGGCAGCUUCCUGGCAUAAUAUUGACACUGAGAUUCGAAAGCGUGGGUAGCAAACAGGAUUAGAUACCCUGGUAGUCCACGCCGUAAACGAUGUCUACUAGCCGUUGGGGUCCUUGAGACUUUAGUGGCGCAGUUAACGCGAUAAGUAGACCGCCUGGGGAGUACGGCCGCAAGGUUAAAACUCAAAUGAAUUGACGGGGGCCCGCACAAGCGGUGGAGCAUGUGGUUUAAUUCGAUGCAACGCGAAGAACCUUACCUGGUCUUGACAUAGUGAGAAUCCUGCAGAGAUGCGGGAGUGCCUUCGGGAAUUCACAUACAGGUGCUGCAUGGCUGUCGUCAGCUCGUGUCGUGAGAUGUUGGGUUAAGUCCCGCGACGAGCGCAACCCUUUUCCUUAUUUGCCAGCGGGUUAAGCCGGGAACUUUAAGGAUACUGCCAGUGACAAACUGGAGGAAGGCGGGGACGACGUCAAGUCAUCAUGGCCCUUACGACCAGGGCUACACACGUGCUACAAUGGUAGGUACAGAGGGUUGCUACACAGCGAUGUGAUGCUAAUCUCAAAAAGCCUAUCGUAGUCCGGAUUGGAGUCUGCAACUCGACUCCAUGAAGUCGGAAUCGCUAGUAAUCGCAGAUCAGAAUGCUGCGGUGAAUAAAUUCCCGGGCCU
This 1355-nucleotide ribosomal RNA is filed under the name uncultured bacterium. RNAcentral describes it as "bacterial SSU rRNA". It matches the Rfam family "Bacterial small subunit ribosomal RNA", at positions 28 to 1381 of the family's 1533-position model. The record is from RNAcentral.